AGGACGAACGCUGGCGGCGUGCUUAACACAUGCAAGUCGAGCGGAAAGGCCCUUCGGGGUACUCGAGCGGCGAACGGGUGAGUAACACGUGAGCAACCUGCCCCUAGCUCUGGGAUAGCUCCGGGAAACCGGGAUUAAUACCAGAUACGACCACUUUAGACAUCUUUUGUGGUGGAAAGGAUUCCGGCUAGGGAUGGGCUCGCGGCCUAUCAGCUUGUUGGUGAGGUAACGGCCCACCAAGGCGACGACGGGUAGCCGGCCUGAGAGGGCGACCGGCCACACUGGGACUGAGACACGGCCCAGACUCCUACGGGAGGCAGCAGUGGGAAUAUUGCGCAAUGGGCGAAAGCCUGACGCAGCGACGCCGCGUGGGGGAUGAAGGCCUUCGGGUUGUAAACUCCUUUCAGCAGGGACGAAGCGAAAGUGACGGUACCUGCAGAAGAAGCGCCGGCUAACUACGUGCCAGCAGCCGC
RNAcentral lists this ribosomal RNA (473 nucleotides) under uncultured bacterium. RNAcentral describes it as "SSU rRNA". It matches the Rfam family "Bacterial small subunit ribosomal RNA", at positions 26 to 518 of the family's 1533-position model. The record is from RNAcentral.